ACGCUGACUUUCAAGUUGCCUGCUCCUCAUUUGCAUAAAGUUGAGUUCCAGGAUACUUUAUGCAAAUCAGGGGUGUCAACUUGCCGUCUCUCGAAAACUCUGGAAAUUCUGUUAGACUGACGGUUGUUGAUCUAUAAAUGAAGACAGAUUUAGCAACUGCAUGGCUUAUUUCUCACAUAAAAUGUUUUCAGAA
Long non-coding RNA from Etheostoma cragini (Arkansas darter), 193 nucleotides. RefSeq lists it as uncharacterized. The transcript has 3 exons. Lineage: Eukaryota; Metazoa; Chordata; Actinopteri; Perciformes; Percidae. The record is from RefSeq and is a predicted model, not a curated record.